Molecule: ribosomal RNA, 119 nt
Filed under: Pomacea canaliculata
Lineage: Eukaryota; Metazoa; Mollusca; Gastropoda; Architaenioglossa; Ampullariidae
Source: RNAcentral
GCCUACGGCCAUACCACGUUGAACACACCGGUUCUCGUCCGAUCACCGAAGUUAAACAACGUCGGGCCUGGUUAGUACUUGGAUGGGUGACCGCCUGGGAACACCGGGUGCUGUAGGCG